Molecule: non-coding RNA, 85 nt
Organism: Mycena belliarum
Lineage: Eukaryota; Fungi; Basidiomycota; Agaricomycetes; Agaricales; Mycenaceae
Source: the annotation of a GenBank genome assembly
GACCCCUUGGCUCAGUGGUAGAGCAUCUGAUUCCAGUUAACGAUUGGUUUCCAGAAGGUCGUCCGUUCGAUCCGGGCAGGGGUCA